This 301-nucleotide ribosomal RNA is filed under the name uncultured bacterium. RNAcentral describes it as "partial 16S ribosomal RNA". It matches the Rfam family "Bacterial small subunit ribosomal RNA", at positions 509 to 809 of the family's 1533-position model. The record is from RNAcentral.
CAGCAGCCGCGGUAAUACGAGGGGGGCAAGCGUUGUUCGGAAUUAUUGGGCGUAAAGGGUGCGUAGGCGGUUUGGCAAGUUUGGUGUGAAAUCUUCGGGCUCAACUCGAAGUCUGCAUCGAAAACUGCCGGGCUUGAGUAUGGGAGAGGUGAGUGGAAUUUCCGGUGUAGCGGUGAAAUGCGUAGAUAUCGGAAGGAACACCUGUGGCGAAAGCGGCUCACUGGACCAUAACUGACGCUGAUGCACGAAAGCUAGGGGAGCAAACAGGAUUAGAUACCCCUGUAGUCCCUGUCUCUUAUAA